AAAAAAGGUAAGCUACUAAGAGCGAAUGGUGGAUGCCUUGACUGGUAAAGGCGAUGAAGGACGUACUAGACUGCGAUAAGCUACGGGGAGCUGUCAAGAAGCUUUGAUCCGUAGAUUUCCGAAUGGGGCAACCCAAUGUAUAGAGAUAUACAUUACCUAUAUAGGAGCGAACGAGGGGAAUUGAAACAUCUUAGUACCCUCAGGAAAAGAAAUCAAUAGAGAUUGCGUCAGUAGCGGCGAGCGAAAGCGCAAGAGGGCAAACCCAGUGCUUGCACUGGGGGUUGUAGGACUGCAAUGUGCAAGAGGUAAGUUUAGCAGAACAUUCUGGAAAGUAUAACCAUAGAGGGUGAUAGUCCCGUAUGCGAAAAACAAACCUUAGCUAGCAGUAUCCUGAGUAGGGCGGGACACGAGGAAUCCUGUCUGAAUCUGGGUCGACCACGAUCCAACCCUAAAUACUAAUACCAGAUCGAUAGUGCACAAGUACCGUGAGGGAAAGGUGAAAAGAACUGAGGUGAUCAGAGUGAAAUAGAACCUGAAACCAUUUGCUUACAAUCAUUCAGAGCCCUAUGUAGCAAUACAGGGUGAUGGACUGCCUUUUGCAUAAUGAGCCUGCGAGUUGUGGUGUCUGGCAAGGUUAAGCAAACGCGAAGCCGUAGCGAAAGCGAGUCUGAAUAGGGCGCUUAGUCAGAUGCUGCAGACCCGAAACGAAGUGAUCUAUCCAUGAGCAAGUUGAAGCUAGUGUAAGAACUAGUGGAGGACUGAACCCAUAGGCGUUGAAAAGCCCCGGGAUGACUUGUGGAUAGGGGUGAAAGGCCAAUCAAACUUCGUGAUAGCUGGUUCUCUCCGAAAUAUAUUUAGGUAUAGCGUUGUGUCGUAAUAUAAGGGGGUAGAGCACUGAAUGGGCUAGGGCAUACACCAAUGUACCAAACCCUAUCAAACUCCGAAUACCUUAUAUGUAAUCACAGCAGUCAGGCGGCGAGUGAUAAAAUCCGUCGUCAAGAGGGAAACAACCCAGACUACCAGCUAAGGUCCCUAAAUCUUACUUAAGUGGAAAACGAUGUGAAGUUACUUAAACAACCAGGAGGUUGGCUUAGAAGCAGCCAUCCUUUAAAGAAAGCGUAAUAGCUCACUGGUCUAGUGAUUUUGCGCGGAAAAUAUAACGGGGCUAAAGUAAGUA
RNAcentral lists this ribosomal RNA (1177 nucleotides) under Campylobacter jejuni. RNAcentral's name for it is "partial 23S ribosomal RNA". It matches the Rfam family "Bacterial large subunit ribosomal RNA", at positions 1 to 1193 of the family's 2925-position model. The record is from RNAcentral. Lineage: Bacteria; Pseudomonadati; Campylobacterota; Epsilonproteobacteria; Campylobacterales; Campylobacteraceae.